CGGAGCUGGGAAACCUCCACGUUGGCUUUGUCAUUGCAGUAUUGUAACUCGUCAAUCGGGCAAUGGCAGGGCUGGUGCACCCUGGGUAGCAGUUAAUAAAGAACUCUCACGUGAGCAAUUAUUAACUGUUAGCGAAUUCCCGGACACCAGCAGGACAAGUCAGCGAUCUCAGGAGUAGGGAUGGUUUGCUCCCUAAACCCCCGACAAAAGUCGACUUCUCUAGGUAUCUGAGAGAUCGCUGGCUUGCUCGGCUCGCUUGUUUUCCCCUUGUUUUUUUUUCUUCGUUUAUCUUUCAUUUUUUGUUCUAAUGUUAGCUAUUCUUUUAUCUUUUCUGUCUAAUUGUUUCGUUCGGUCUUGUGUUUCCUUUUUCGUUUCUUGAUGUGAAUUAACAGCUAACAUCUCACAUGACCACCCACAGUGGCACCGCGCACAUCCGUAUAUUUAGGAGGAGGUAUAUAGGCUGAUAGCAGUGUGACGCGAGAUUUAUUACAAACACUUCACUGAAGAAACACAAACUAAUACAACCGGGAAUCGAGUUAUACGGCUGUGACACGUGCAUACGUGCACACGUGUGACAGAGAGUUGCUGUCGUUUAUACCACCAACGGAGCAUUCAUGCUAGCAGUAUACCGAUAGUGGUCAUCCACUCUGUGGACUGGAAGUAAAUCAAGGCUGCAGAGGAUGCUCACGCGCAUCGAACGAACGGGUGAGGUUACAACAAACAAAAGCAACAAAGGUACGGUUCUGUUCAAAUAUCAAAAAGGCCAAGAAAACAAAGUAUUUUUUGUUCGAGAAUUGAACCUACAACCCGUAAAGCGGUGGCUGCUAGAUCAAUCUGUCAAUAAAAGGGCCCCAGUACCUGAUAGCAGGCUCCAACUCGCCCAAACUGAAUAAUGCACAUAGGACUGUAGGCAUUUGGGCUGCGGAGCCGGGAAACCUCGACGUUGGCUUUGUCCCUGCUGGACUACUUUUCCUUGUGGUUACGUCCGCGUGGAACUCGUCAGUCACGUAAUAGCCCAGCUGGUACACCCUGGGUAACGGCUAAUAACUGCUCUUAUGAGAGUUCUUAUUAGCUAUUGGUCAUUAUUCCCGGAGGCGUGCAGGACGAAUCCGCAAUCUUUCGGUCCCUAAACAUUCGACUAAGUCAUAGACUGUUCUGGGCAUGCAAGGAAUCGCAGACUUGCCCAACUUGCUUCUUAUCCUCUUGUUUUCUUCAUCUUUUUUGUUUUAUUUUGUAUGUUUUCUUUUAUUGUUUCUGAGUUCUUUUAUAUUCACUAUGUUUUAUCUUUUCUAUUUUUUCAUUCGGAGUUGCAUUUCCAUAUCUGUUUCUUAAUGUGAAUGAGUAAGAGACAUUAUCCUGGAAGAAAGUAAAGAUUAAAAAAAGGUAACCCAGAGAGGUAACCAUUUAGAGAUGCGAAAGAAAAAUAUAAAGUUUAUCGUAAAAAAAUGGACAUCAUACCUCCCAAAUUGUAAUGGUGCUGGAUCAGUUGAUUAAUGAUUGUAUACUGGUGAUGUCACACGAAUCACAAUUAAGUAAUUCCAUACGAGGGUUGACGUUAAGCAGAAGCAAACUUACAUCUAAUUACUAGUAUAUGACAAACUUUUGUUGGCGCUGUACUAAUGAUAUGACUAUUUUGUUCAUUACGGCAGGUAACAUCUCACAUGGCUACUCACACUGGCACCACGCACAUCCGCAUAGAUGUGAGGCGUGUAUUGCCAGAUUUACUACAAGUACUUCAUCAAAGAAACAAACGAAUACAUCUGGGAAUCGAGCCAUACGGCUGUGUCACGUGCUAACAGAGCGCCUGUUGAUGCAGUCAACAGUUCCAGCUCGGCGAAACAAUCUUAUCACAGCAUGCGGUUUGUCAUCGAAAGCACAUCGGCCCAAUCAAGUAUCUACGUCGAAGGGUGCGAAGUCGAAAGAAUGAAUCAAUUUCUGAUUAUUUAGGUUUAUAGUAGGUAUAUAAGAUUUUAAAUUAUAUAAAUGGUUAUAACGAUAUUAUCAUAAUGAUAAUAAAAGAAUUGUUCGUCUCUAUGUAAUUAAAUUAUGUAAUACAAUAAAAAUAAAACAAAAAUUCUUCACGGUUUAGCACACCGCUUUAUGGUCGUGGGUUCGAUUCCUCGCACCGUACAAACAUUGGUAUUCAUGAGUAUGAUAGUUUGUAUCGGUCUGGGUGUUUUCUAUGUAUAAUAUGUAUUUAUUUACAAAAAAAAUGUAUCCAUGUAUUUAUAUCAGUUGUCUAGUACCCAUAACACAAGCUCUGCUUAGCUUGGGACUAGACGGCGCUGUAUGAAUUGUCCUGAGAUAUUAUUAUUAUUAUUAAAAAGUAUGUCUCUUUAAAGUGGGUUAGAUAAGCAAUAGCUAUGGGACAUAUUUAUAUUCUUUUAAAGGAUAAUUACAUAAAGUAUAAUUUAAUUUUAUUAAGGAUGUUUUUUUUUAAUACCAUAAAUUAUAUUAGGCACACGAAUUUCUUACACUCUGCAUAUACUAUACUACAACUAUAAAAAGAAUGCAGAUAAGUUGGUAACAUUCUAUAUAACAAUAUUAUAUAUAUGGAACUUCACAGAAUUUCUGUUCAUAAUUCAUGCUUAUUUACGAUUAUUAUCUAUAAUGUAGUACAAGUGUCUAUUAUUACACUAUAUAUAUAUAAUUGAUGUGAUUUUAUCAGUAAUUGUUGUAGAGAUUAGAUGAUUGAAUCGUAUAGGAAUAUAGAAGUAAUAUAGGUAACUGGAAAAUGUAACUAUCAUUAUUUUUUUUUAUUAUUUAUUUAUUUACAACCUUUAUACUGAAGAGUUAAUAAUAAUUUAUUUAUUUGUAAUCGAUUUACUGUACAUGUACAGUACAAGAUGUUAUGGAAAACAGUAAAAGUGCUAUAUUCGUUACCAUCAUUUGAUUUUUACAUAAUUGUUAUAUUUAGUAAAAUUAAAUAUAUUUAUAAUAUUUUUUUAAGAAAUGUCGGGUUAGGAAACAAAACUAACUGAAGUACAAGUGAAUGGAUAUUUAUUUAUUACUCUGUCACGCAAAAACUAUAGUACCAAUUUUAUUUCCAACUAGCUAUUCCCGCGACUUCGUCAGCGUGGAAUUUAACUUUAAUUUUCUAAAAUAAAAGUUAAAAUAAGGAGUAACUUAGGCUAAAUUACUCCUUAUUACAUCAGCUAACUGCCAAUAAAAGUCCCGUCAAAAUCGGUUCAGCCAUUUCAGAGAUUGGCCGGAACAAACAGACAGU
Long non-coding RNA from Achroia grisella, 3226 nucleotides. RefSeq lists it as uncharacterized. Lineage: Eukaryota; Metazoa; Arthropoda; Insecta; Lepidoptera; Pyralidae. The record is from RefSeq and is a predicted model, not a curated record. The transcript has 6 exons.